ACACCCACUGACACCAUUUUGUUUUCCCGCCACAGGAGGGCUGCCUCUCAGGCCAGGCCCUCACCCCACAGCCUCCCCAGAUCCGUGUGCGUUGGGGAGAGGGGUUGCAUCUCACCUCACAUACCGUAUAUUCAAAUAUAUAUCAAUGUAUGGGUAUGACAUAGUUGUGAGAGAUUGCUGCCAGGCUCUGGGAUUUGUAUGUGGUUGGUUUCAGAGGCAUUGUCAUCGUGACAGCUGGGGAAGGCUCUGGGGAAGCCAAGCUUGGAGGGGAGAGGUAGGAGACAUUUAACCAGUCCUGGUUUUAUGGAGAAAAGUGGCUUUCCCAGACUGACUUUUUCUGCCCCAAUUGCUUCAGUUUGGCAGAGGAUCCCGGGUGCCCUGUGAGGGGACUGAAUGCCAUGCAGUGCCACUAGCCACUCCUGAGGUGGGUGUAUGGUUGAUGUCCUACUGCACGCUGCACCAUUACACGUCUUUCUGCCCCCAAAAGCAGAGAAUUUAAAUCCAAUAAUUUUUUUUAAAUAUAUUAAGCUGGCACCUCUCCUGCUUUCUUGUUUCAUUGUGAGGCUUUUCAGUUCCCAUUUAAGAAGAGACAUCUCAUCCCAGGAGCUGCAGGGCAAACUCCCUCUCCACACACAGAGGAACAUGAUGUUGCUAGGCAAGGGCAGGACAGAGCAGGAAAAGUGCAAGACCUUAGCCACUUGCUGCAAGAAAAUCCAGAAACACCCCUGUUUUCUUGUACCCUGACUGCCACACUGAGUAUCUUAAAAAGAAGACAAGGCAGAGCAAGUAGUCCAGCCUGACACAUCAUUGGCUUUGUGCUCAACUAAAUGAAGUCAGAAUUCAGACCUCUUAUAGCAGGUAAGA
This is a long non-coding RNA of Gallus gallus (chicken), 864 nucleotides long. RefSeq lists it as uncharacterized. The transcript has 3 exons. Lineage: Eukaryota; Metazoa; Chordata; Aves; Galliformes; Phasianidae. The record is from RefSeq and is a predicted model, not a curated record.